CUGCGGUGCAUUAGCUAGUUGGUAAGGUAACGGCUUACCAAGGCAAUGAUGCAUAGCCGAGUUGAGAGACUGAUCGGCCACAUUGGGACUGAGACACGGCCCAAACUCCUACGGGAGGCAGCAGUAGGGAAUCUUCCACAAUGGACGAAAGUCUGAUGGAGCAACGCCGCGUGAGUGAAGAAGGGUUUCGGCUCGUAAAGCUCUGUUGGUAGUGAAGAAAGAUAGAGGUAGUAACUGGCCUUUAUUUGACGGUAAUUACUUAGAAAGUCACGGCUAACUACGUGCCAGCAGCCGCGGUAAUACGUAGGUGGCAAGCGUUGUCCGGAUUUAUUGGGCGUAAAGCGAGUGCAGGCGGUUCAAUAAGUCUGAUGUGAAAGCCUUCGGCUCAACCGGAGAAUUGCAUCAGAAACUGUUGAACUUGAGUGCAGAAGAGGAGAGUGGAACUCCAUGUGUAGCGGUGGAAUGCGUAGAUAUAUGGAAGAACACCAGUGGCGAAGGCGGCUCUCUGGUCUGCAACUGACGCUAAGGCUCGAAAGCAUGGGUAGCGAACAGGAUUAGAUACCCUGGUAGUCCAUGCCGUAAACGAUGAGUGCUAAGUGUUGGGAGGUUUCCGCCUCUCAGUGCUGCAGCUAACGC
This 636-nucleotide ribosomal RNA is filed under the name uncultured bacterium. Its description in RNAcentral is "bacterial SSU rRNA". It matches the Rfam family "Bacterial small subunit ribosomal RNA", at positions 231 to 858 of the family's 1533-position model. The record is from RNAcentral.